This 120-nucleotide ribosomal RNA is filed under the name uncultured bacterium. RNAcentral's name for it is "partial 16S ribosomal RNA". It matches the Rfam family "Bacterial small subunit ribosomal RNA", at positions 30 to 147 of the family's 1533-position model. The record is from RNAcentral.
AUUGAACGCUGGCGGCAUGCCUUACACAUGCAAGUCGAACGGCAGCACGGGAGCAAUCCUGGUGGCGAGUGGCGAACGGGUGAGUAAUACAUCGGAACGUGCCCAGUAGUGGGGGAUAAC